This 708-nucleotide ribosomal RNA is filed under the name uncultured Bacillus sp. Its description in RNAcentral is "bacterial SSU rRNA". It matches the Rfam family "Bacterial small subunit ribosomal RNA", at positions 409 to 1106 of the family's 1533-position model. Lineage: Bacteria; Bacillati; Bacillota; Bacilli; Caryophanales; Bacillaceae. The record is from RNAcentral.
UGAAGGCCUUCGGGUCGUAAAGCUCUGUUGUUAGGGAAGAACAAGUAUCGGAGUAACUGCCGGUACCUUGACGGUACCUAACCAGAAAGCCACGGCUAACUACGUGCCAGCAGCCGCGGUAAUACGUAGGUGGCAAGCGUUGUCCGGAAUUAUUGGGCGUAAAGCGCGCGCAGGCGGUUCCUUAAGUCUGAUGUGAAAGCCCACGGCUCAACCGUGGAGGGUCAUUGGAAACUGGGGAACUUGAGUGCAGAAGAGAAGAGCGGAAUUCCACGUGUAGCGGUGAAAUGCGUAGAGAUGUGGAGGAACACCAGUGGCGAAGGCGGCUCUUUGGUCUGUAACUGACGCUGAGGCGCGAAAGCGUGGGGAGCGAACAGGAUUAGAUACCCUGGUAGUCCACGCCGUAAACGAUGAGUGCUAAGUGUUAGAGGGUUUCCGCCCUUUAGUGCUGCAGCAAGCGCAUUAAGCACUCCGCCUGGGGAGUACGGCCGCAAGGCUGAAACUCAAAGGAAUUGACGGGGGCCCGCACAAGCGGUGGAGCAUGUGGUUUAAUUCGAAGCAACGCGAAGAACCUUACCAGGUCUUGACAUCCUCUGACACUCCUAGAGAUAGGACGUUCCCCUUCGGGGGACAGAGUGACAGGUGGUGCAUGGUUGUCGUCAGCUCGUGUCGUGAGAUGUUGGGUUAAGUCCCGCAACGAGCGCAACCCUU